AUUACCACAAACUUCAUACUUUAACACAAUUUUACUUCAAUAGCAAGAGGGUGGAAGCAACCCAAGUGUCUAUUGGUAGAUGGAUAGAUGCAUAAAAUUCAGCAUAACCAUACAAUAAAAUAAAAUUCAUUCUAAAAAGGAAGGAUAUUUGGCCACGUGCUACAACAUGAGUGAACAUUAUGCUGUGUGAAAUAAACCACUCACAAGAAGGACUUUAGGUGAUGGAAGAGGCAUGACCAGCAGCAGACAAGCUAGAGAAGGCAGCAAAGUUUGACAAGAUACAAAAAAACCACAACAAAACAGGCAGCUGAUGUAGGUGCUGUCUCUGCCCCACAAAAGCUGUGCUAUCUGGAACACAGAACACCGGAUGCAAUGCUCCCAACAGAGAGACAACAACUACAAAGGACAACAACUACAAAGGUCAAUGAUAAGUCACCUGAAAAUAUCCACACACCUGCCUUGAUCGCUGCAUGGACCCCAACCACAAAUAUUUGUUCUGACCCCUACACGUGAUAGACAUGCCAGACCUCUUCCACUGCCCUGUAAAGCUUUCUGCCUUUUCUUUGUUCGGGGCUGGCUGUCUCUUGCCUGCCGUCAGUCCACCUCUGCCAAGUGAAUAAAGUCUGUACCUCUUUGCUUGUAUUAGCCUGCUUGGGUGGUCUCAUCCCUCCACGCCAUUUGUUACAAUUCCCAAUUCCUAUAAGAAUGGCCCAUCUAGGUUCUUCUUUGGGGAAGGGGAUGGGGCAGAUAAUUCUAUUUCUGUGCACCAGACUAUCUUAGGUAUUUCAUAUCAGUGCAAUCAUGCAAUAUUUGAUUGGCUUACUUCCCUGGGCUUAAUGUCCUCAAAGUUCAUCCAUGUUGUUGCAUAUGAAAGGAUUUCCUUUUUUAAGGCUGCAAAUAUUUUAUUGUGUCUAUAUACUACAUUUUUAUGCAUGC
Heterocephalus glaber (naked mole-rat) is the source of this 936-nucleotide long non-coding RNA. Lineage: Eukaryota; Metazoa; Chordata; Mammalia; Rodentia; Bathyergidae. The record is from Ensembl.